Molecule: ribosomal RNA, 466 nt
Filed under: uncultured bacterium
Lineage: Bacteria
Description: partial 16S ribosomal RNA
Rfam family: Bacterial small subunit ribosomal RNA
Source: RNAcentral
GAUGAAUGCUGGCGGCGUGCCUAACACAUGCAAGUCGAGCGGUAACAGGAGUAGUUUACUACUUGCUGACGAGCGGCGGACGGCUGAGUAACGCGUGGGAACAUGCCCCAAAGUGAGGGAUAAGCUCCAGAAAUGGAGUCUAAUACCGCAUAUGAUCUUCGGAUUAAAGGAUUUAUCCGCUUUGGGAGUGGCCUGCGUACGAUUAGAUAGUUGGUGAGGUAAUGGCUCACCAAGUCGACGAUCGUUAACUGGUCUGAGAGGAUGAUCAGUCAGACUGGAACUGAGACACGGUCCAGACUCCUACGGGAGGCAGCAGUGAGGAAUCUUCCACAAUGGGGGCAACCUUGAUGGAGCAACGCCGCGUGCAGGAUGAAGGCCUUCGGGUCGUAAACUGCUUUUAUAAGUGAAGAAUAUGACGGUAACUUAUGAAUAAGCACCGGCUAACUACGUGCCAGCAGCCGCCGUA